AUUGAACGCUGGCGGCGUGCCUAAUACAUGCAAGUCGAACGCAGUGGGGACGGGUGAGUAACACGUGGGUAACCUCCCAUCAGAGGGGAUAACACUUGGAAACAGGUGCUAAACCGAUACUGAUGGAUGGACACGCGGUGCAUUAGCUAGUUGGUGAGGUAACGGGUCACCAAGGCCACGAUGCAUAGCCGACCUGUGAGUGUGACGGUCCACACUUGGACUGAGACACGGCCCAGACUCCUACGGGAGGCAGCAGUAGGGAAUCUUCGGCAUUGGACGAAAGUCUGACCGAGCAACGCCGCGUGAGGGAAGAAGGUUUUCGGAUCGUAAAACUCUGUUGUUAGAGAAGCGGUAUCUAACCAGAAAGCCACGGCUAACUACGUGCCAGCCGCCGCGGUAAUUC
Molecule: ribosomal RNA, 403 nt
Filed under: uncultured bacterium
Lineage: Bacteria
Description: partial 16S ribosomal RNA
Rfam family: Bacterial small subunit ribosomal RNA
Source: RNAcentral